RNAcentral lists this transfer-messenger RNA (393 nucleotides) under Candidatus Tayloriibacteriota bacterium. It matches the Rfam family "transfer-messenger RNA". From Rfam's summary of the family: Bacterial tmRNA, also known as 10Sa RNA or SsrA, is named for its dual tRNA and mRNA-like properties. Its role is to liberate the mRNA from a stalled ribosome. The record is from RNAcentral. Lineage: Bacteria; Candidatus Tayloriibacteriota.
GGGGAUGUAAGUUUCGACAGAGUUCAUUUCAAAUUAUACGCAAGUGGUAGAUGGAUAUCACUACCUAAAUCAUUAUCCAAAAUUAUAAUUGCUAAAACCAAUUAUUCAGGCGCUUUAGCUUUCGCUUAGCAGUUCUCGCCCGUUUUGGGCGAAGCUCGCUCAUAAUAUGAGCGGCCCGUUCUCUUGGAAAUUCUCGCUAUCCAUGAAGGACGCCAUUAGCGGGAUACUGGUAUCGGCAUCUUGGUGUGUUCUUGGCUCGAUAUCGGGAAACUAACAGAAUGCUGGCCUAGUGCUUUUGUCGGCUUUAAAACUGGGCAAUAACAAACCGGCUAAACUUGUAGAAUAUAAUUUGAUAAAACUUUGGACGGGGUUUCAAUACCCCCAUCUCCACUG